AUUGAACGCUGGCGGCAUGCCUUACACAUGCAAGUCGAACGGCAGCACGGGUGCUUGCCCCUGGUGGCGAGUGGCGAACGGGUGAGUAAUACAUCGGAACAUGUCCUGUAGUGGGGGAUAGCCCGGCGAAAGCCGGAUUAAUACCGCAUACGAUCUACGGAUGAAAGCGGGGGACCUUCGGGCCUCGCGCUAUAGGGUUGGCCGAUGGCUGAUUAGCUAGUCGGUGGGGUAAAGGCCUACCAAGGCGACGAUCAGUAGCUGGUCUGAGAGGACGACCAGCCACACUGGGACUGAGACACGGCCCAGACUCCUACGGGAGGCAGCAGUGGGGAAUUUUGGACAAUGGGCGAAAGCCUGAUCCAGCAAUGCCGCGUGUGUGAAGAAGGCCUUCGGGUUGUAAAGCACUUUUGUCCGGAAAGAAAUCCUUGGCCCUAAUACGGUCGGGGGAUGACGGUACCGGAAGAAUAAGCACCGGCUAACUACGUG
RNAcentral lists this ribosomal RNA (486 nucleotides) under uncultured bacterium. RNAcentral describes it as "partial 16S ribosomal RNA". It matches the Rfam family "Bacterial small subunit ribosomal RNA", at positions 30 to 507 of the family's 1533-position model. The record is from RNAcentral.